Molecule: ribosomal RNA, 157 nt
Filed under: Cyclophora puppillaria
Lineage: Eukaryota; Metazoa; Arthropoda; Insecta; Lepidoptera; Geometridae
Description: partial 16S ribosomal RNA
Source: RNAcentral
CUAUCUUUUAAAAUAUAAAAUAUUUUAGUACGAAAGGAAUAAAUAUUUAAAUUAAAUUUAAUUAUUUAAAUUGAAUUUUAUUAAUAUUUAUAUAUAUAUAUAUAUAUAUAAUAUAUAUUAUACAAUUAUAUUAUUAUUAUUAUUAAUUUAAAAUAUU